RNAcentral lists this ribosomal RNA (966 nucleotides) under Triticum aestivum (bread wheat). Its description in RNAcentral is "partial small subunit ribosomal RNA". The record is from RNAcentral. Lineage: Eukaryota; Viridiplantae; Streptophyta; Magnoliopsida; Poales; Poaceae.
AUGUUGCAUAUCAAACCAGAGUGGGACAGAGAAGUGGAAAUUGAAAUCGUAGAAGACGAGGAAGCUCUCAACCCCGAUCCAUAUGAUUUCGUCUACAACAACAUACCAACAAGCACAAACAUGCUCGAAGAAGAAGAAGAUUGCUCAUUAUGCCAUGCAACCAAAUUCAAGUAUGAAACUGAGGGAUUAUGCUGCAAAAAAGGACAAAUAAGACUAGCCACUCCAGAUACGCCUCCUGAGCUAAUGAGACUUUGGACAAGCAACAACCCUGAUGCAAGACAUUUUCGCCAAAACAUAAGAUUUUUCAAUGGGCACUUCUCAUUUACUACUCUAUACUGUCACCUCGACAGAGACACGACAGACAUGCGAACGGCCGGUAUUUACACCUUUCCAGCACAUGGUCAGCUAUAUCACAACAUACACUCAUUUGGUAAUAGCCAAUCAAAUCCAAAGCAUCUCGAGCUAUACUUCUACGACGAUGAUCCAAGCUUAGAGCAUCGAUACCGCCUUUGCCGUGAGGAAAUGUACAAGCAAGACAAGAAUGUCAUUCGAAUUAUAACAGACAUCCUACGCGGUAACCCAUACUCUCAACAGUUCAGAAGUUUGGGACAAGCCGAAAACAUUGAGGACUAUAGACUCAUCUUGAACCUUGACCAGAGAUUGGACCAAAGAACAUACAACGAGCCAAUCAAUUCGGAGGUAGCUGCAGUGUGGAUUGAAGGAAAUGAAAGAAGGGAUACUUAUGACAGAAAUGUAAUAUUACAUGGGAACAACAACGAAAAAGAGCACAUUCGAUCAUAUUGUGGGUGCUAUGAUCCGUUGUCAUAUCCUCUAUUCUUUCCAAGAGCUGAACUCGGUUGGCAUAGGAAAAUACCAAAGAGGGAAACACAAGAGGCACAUAUUGCUACUGAUAAUAUCAUUAAUGACGAUGACCCAGGUAAAAAACAUAUACUAUUAUAUAUUUAA